UACAGAGGGUGCGAGCGUUGUCCGGAUUCAUUGGGCGUAAAGGGUGCGUAGGCGGUCGUGCAAGUCGGAUGUGAAAUCUCAGGGCUCAACCCUGAAACUGCAUUCGAUACUGCGCGGCUAGAGUGCUGGAGGGGAGACUGGAAUUUACGGUGUAGCAGUGAAAUGCGUAGAUAUCGUAAGGAAGACCAGUGGCGAAGGCGAGUCUCUGGACAGCAACUGACGCUGAGGCACGAAGGCCAGGGGAGCAAACGGG
RNAcentral lists this ribosomal RNA (253 nucleotides) under uncultured bacterium. RNAcentral describes it as "partial 16S ribosomal RNA". It matches the Rfam family "Bacterial small subunit ribosomal RNA", at positions 524 to 776 of the family's 1533-position model. The record is from RNAcentral.